This 253-nucleotide ribosomal RNA is filed under the name uncultured bacterium. RNAcentral's name for it is "partial 16S ribosomal RNA". It matches the Rfam family "Bacterial small subunit ribosomal RNA", at positions 524 to 776 of the family's 1533-position model. The record is from RNAcentral.
UACGAAGGGGGCUAGCGUUGUUCGGAAUUACUGGGCGUAAAGGGCGCGCAGGCGGUCGUUCAAGUCAGGCGUGAAAGCCCCGGGCUCAACCUGGGAACAGCGCUUGAGACUGAGCGACUUGAGUUCGGGAGAGGAGAGCGGAAUUCCGAGUGUAGAGGUGAAAUUCGUAGAUAUUCGGAAGAACACCAGUGGCGAAGGCGACUCACUGGACACGUAUUGACGCUGAGGUGCGAAAGCGUGGGGAGCAAACAGG